UCUCAGGCGAUAAAAUUGCACUCCAUGUUUAUCCUCAUAUAGACCAACACAAGGGAUGAAGACAAUAUAAUAAAAUGGUCAAAAAACUAUAUAUGGGGGGAGAGAAAGAGGCGCUAACCCAUCUAGCUUUUAAAUUUACACGAACAAAUCCAGACACUACAUAGACAAAUUAGGAGGAGCCACGUCAAAAUCGUUGUAUUUACUCCCAUUUUCUUCUGGUUGCAAGUUUGACUGUUCUUCCACCACCAAACUCAUGCGCUUGCACCAACAUAGAUAUUGUGGGAUUGGACCUUCGUCUCCAAUCACCCAGCUGUGCUUUGCUAUGGCG
This 328-nucleotide unclassified non-coding RNA is filed under the name Hevea brasiliensis (rubber tree). Lineage: Eukaryota; Viridiplantae; Streptophyta; Magnoliopsida; Malpighiales; Euphorbiaceae. The record is from RNAcentral.